GUUUUCCUACGUAACAAACCUGCACAUCCUGCACAUGUAUCCUGGAACUUAAAAUAAAAUAAAAUAAAAUUUUUAAAAAGAAUAAAUAAAUAGCAGCCUAGUCCAAAGACGUUUACAUCCUGGAAGAGAACUUGCUGGCUUUUCACCUCAGCAUGUAUGGGCCAAACUAAUAUAACAAGAAGUCUUGAGAGGAGUCAGCGGCCAAGCUCCAUGUCUUGCAGCCAAACAAUGCUGUGGGAUGGAAGGUGGGAUGUCAUGUGUCUGGUUUACAGCACUCACGUAUCAGUUGGCAGUUAACGGAAGUGCUACUGAUUGUAACAGUGGAAGCAAUUUGAAAUGAAAUACAACACUUAAAGCAAAUGAAACGGAAGUGAAUGCCAGCAGUAAAUGGCAAGAAGAAAUCCAGUUCAGUGUGUUCCUCAGAAAUCUUGCCUCUUGGGACUAAAUGCUGCAAAUGUAACUCUUAUCCUUGUUUUUCAAGUUUUACCAUCUCAAAGCUAUCCACUUUAUAUUAAAUUAGUUCUGUUAUAUUAUGUCAAUUUGUAUUCUUAAGAGCACAAGUUUGGCCUCAAAUAGACCUGAGCUGAGAUCCAA
This 594-nucleotide long non-coding RNA is filed under the name Homo sapiens (human). Its description in RNAcentral is "PREDICTED lncRNA (TCONS_00210500)". The record is from RNAcentral. Lineage: Eukaryota; Metazoa; Chordata; Mammalia; Primates; Hominidae.